CCUACGGGAGGCAGCAGUGGGGAAUUUUGGACAAUGGGGGCAACCCUGAUCCAGCCAUGCCGCGUGCGGGAAGAAGGCCUUCGGGUUGUAAACCGCUUUUAGCUGGGAAGAAAAGGCCAUCGUUAAUAGCGGUGGUUCUUGACGGUACCGGCGGAAUAAGCACCGGCUAACUACGUGCCAGCAGCCGCGGUAAUACGUAGGGUGCGAGCGUUAAUCGGAAUUACUGGGCGUAAAGCGUGCGCAGGCGGUUCGUUGUGUUUGCGGUGAAAGCCCCGGGCUCAACCUGGGAAUGGCCGUGAAAACUGGCGAGCUGGAGUGUGGCAGAGGGGGGUGGAAUUCCAGGUGUAGCAGUGAAAUGCGUAGAGAUCGGGAGGAACACCUGUGGCGAAAGCGGCACCCUGGUCCACACCUGACGCUGAGGUGCGAAAGCGUGGGUAGCAAACAGGAUUAGAUACCCUGGUAGUCCACGCCGUAAACGAUGUCAACUGGGUGUCGGUGGUUUUACACUAUCGGUGCCGAAGCAAACGCGUUAAGUUGACCGCCUGGGGACUACGGCCGCAAGGCUAAAACUCAAAGGAAUUGACGG
This 586-nucleotide ribosomal RNA is filed under the name uncultured bacterium. Its description in RNAcentral is "bacterial SSU rRNA". It matches the Rfam family "Bacterial small subunit ribosomal RNA", at positions 338 to 916 of the family's 1533-position model. The record is from RNAcentral.